This 299-nucleotide unclassified non-coding RNA is filed under the name fungal sp. RNAcentral describes it as "partial internal transcribed spacer region". Lineage: Eukaryota; Fungi. The record is from RNAcentral.
AAGUCGUAAGGUUUCCGGAGGUGAACGUAUCCAACGUAAAAACAACCCCGUGAACCUUCAGACGUGCUCUCUUUAGCAAUCCCUGGUAAAUCAUUGUCAAACAGAUUUGAGUCAGGGACUUCUAUGGAGCAUCACGCGUAAGCGGCCUGGCACCCUAGCAAUCUGACAGUGGUUGCGCAAGGGUGGCGUAGUAAACGAUCGCUGGAGGCCCACACGGCCGGCGGACGGGCCCCUGUGCCUACCACGUAACAACCGCACCACCAACCGAACAACUGUUAACAAUGGAUAUCUUGGUUCUC